Molecule: ribosomal RNA, 466 nt
Filed under: uncultured bacterium
Lineage: Bacteria
Description: partial 16S ribosomal RNA
Rfam family: Bacterial small subunit ribosomal RNA
Source: RNAcentral
ACGAACGCUGGCGGCGUGCUUAACACAUGCAAGUCGAACGGAAAGGCCCUGCUUUUGUGGGGUGCUCGAGUGGCGAACGGGUGAGUAACACGUGAGUAACCUGCCCUUGACUUUGGGAUAACUUCAGGAAACUGGGGCUAAUACCGGAUAGGAGCUCCUGCUGCAUGGUGGGGGUUGGAAAGUUUCGGCGGUUGGGGAUGGACUCGCGGCUUAUCAGCUUGUUGGUGGGGUAGUGGCUUACCAAGGCUUUGACGGGUAGCCGGCCUGAGAGGGUGACCGGCCACAUUGGGACUGAGAUACGGCCCAGACUCCUACGGGAGGCAGCAGUGGGGAAUAUUGCACAAUGGGCGGAAGCCUGAUGCAGCAACGCCGCGUGCGGGAUGACGGCCUUCGGGUUGUAAACCGCUUUCGCCUGUGACGAAGCGUGAGUGACGGUAAUGGGUAAAGAAGCACCGGCUAGCUACGU